CCAGGUCUUGACAUCUUCUGCCAAUCUUAGAGAUAAGACGUUCCCUUCGGGGACAGAAUGACAGGUGGUGCAUGGUUGUCGUCAGCUCGUGUCGUGAGAUGUUGGGUUAAGUCCCGCAACGAGCGCAACCCUUAUUAUCAGUUGCCAGCAUUCAGUUGGGCACUCUGGUGAGACUGCCGGUGACAAACCGGAGGAAGGUGGGGAUGACGUCAAAUCAUCAUGCCCCUUAUGACCUGGGCUACACACGUGCUACAAUGGACGGUACAACGAGUCGCGAAGUCGUGAGGCUAAGCUAAUCUCUUAAAGCCGUUCUCAGUUCGGAUUGUAGGCUGCAACUCGCCUACAUGAAGUUGGAAUCGCUAGUAAUCGCGGAUCAGCAUGCCGCGGUGAAUACGUUCCCGGGUUUUGUACACACCG
Molecule: ribosomal RNA, 417 nt
Filed under: bacterium enrichment culture DGGE gel band 244
Lineage: Bacteria
Description: bacterial SSU rRNA
Rfam family: Bacterial small subunit ribosomal RNA
Source: RNAcentral